GGUAAGAUGGCCGAAGCAGGCAAUGGGCUGUAAACCCAGUUAUAGGGGUUUAAGUCCCCUUUUUAUCA
Molecule: transfer RNA, 68 nt
Filed under: Aplastodiscus arildae (Teresopolis treefrog)
Lineage: Eukaryota; Metazoa; Chordata; Amphibia; Anura; Hylidae
Description: tRNA-Tyr
Rfam family: tRNA
About the family: Transfer RNA (tRNA) molecules are approximately 80 nucleotides in length. Their secondary structure includes four short double-helical elements and three loops (D, anti-codon, and T loops). Further hydrogen bonds mediate the characteristic L-shaped molecular structure. tRNAs have two regions of fundamental functional importance: the anti-codon, which is responsible for specific mRNA codon recognition, and the 3' end, to which the tRNAs corresponding amino acid is attached (by aminoacyl-tRNA synthetases). tRNAs cope with the degeneracy of the genetic code in two manners: having more than one tRNA (with a specific anti-codon) for a particular amino acid; and 'wobble' base-pairing, i.e. permitting non-standard base-pairing at the 3rd anti-codon position.
Source: RNAcentral